This is an RNA transcript of Rosa rugosa (rugosa rose), 2044 nucleotides long. RefSeq lists it as uncharacterized. The transcript has 11 exons. Lineage: Eukaryota; Viridiplantae; Streptophyta; Magnoliopsida; Rosales; Rosaceae. The record is from RefSeq and is a predicted model, not a curated record.
CGGGGGAGUCAUUUUAUCAUGUGAUCUUCAUUUUUAACUGCAUAUCCGAAACAGAGACGGAAGGACAAAUAGAAAGGGGAGUGUAAAUAACAAAGAUUUGAUAUCAAAUGAGUAAUCGCCUCCUCCUGGUUGGCAUCACCAUUCGCUCUAAUCGCUGCUUCAUCCCACACCACUUCACUUGCAGGACCUGCUUUUGUAGUGGUACCUUGAGAAAUCAGACUAACAUGGAAUCCGAUGAGGUUGUGGUGGUGGCUCACCCUCACCUUUUGGAUACCAAAAUUGCUGCUAUUCGGAAUGCGGGUCCCCCCAAACUCCAGGUUAUAGCAGAUUUUGAUGCCACACUCACAAAGUACAGAGUGAAUGGUUCUCGGGGACAAAGCAGUCAUGGCCUUUUGCAACAGGAGAAUCCUGAAUAUAAUAACAAAAGGCGGGAGCUAUUCGAAUACUAUCAUCCAUUAGAGUUCUCGCCAACUAUUCCAAUUGAACAAAAAACUAAGCUUAUGGAAGAAUGGUGGGGAAAGACUCAUUCUCUUUUGAUUGAGGGAGGCCUUACCUAUGAUGGGAUAAGGCAAUCCGUUGCUGAUUCCACAAUUGCCUUUAGGGAGGGUGUUGUUGAAUUAUUUGAGUUUUUAGAGAAAAGAGACAUUCCUGUUCUUAUAUUUUCUGCAGGACUUGCAGAUAUCAUAGAGGAGGUCCUGAGGCAGAAAGUUCACAGAUUGUUUAAAAAUGUGAAGAUCGUCUCCAAUAGGAUGAUAUUUGAUGAUAACGGCCACCUUGUAUCGUUUAAAGGGAAGACGAUUCAUAGUCUAAAUAAAAAUGAGCACGCUCUUGAUAUGGCUGCUCCACUUCAUGAGCAAUUAGGUGACUUAGAUGGGCCAACUUAUGAGAAUGCGUCAGUCAAGACAAGAAGAAAUGUCAUUCUUCUGGGCGAUCAUAUUGGUGACCUGGGAAUGUCUGAUGGUUUGAACUAUGAGAAUAGAAUUUCCGUGGGAUUUCUGUUGUGGCACACACAUAAGGUAAGUUUUACAGAGAUUAUAUUUGAUGUGGUCUGGGUGAUGAACUUAACUACAAGUGCAUGGAAGGUACUUUGUCACUUAGUCUUGGAAAUGGGAUUUAAAGCUUAGUCUGGCUGUCAAAAAUCACUACAUGCAGCAGGCUUGGACAGAUUUUCCCUGGAUGAACAACAGUAUCGACUAUCAAAGGUGAAGAGCAUGGUUGUGGUGCUCUCCAAGGAUUCUAUAAUGAUCUGUAAUUGCUCAUGGAAGCAAGAAAGGCUGAGCAGCUAGGGCCUAAUAUCAUCUGGAAUAAUUUUUUUCUCCAAGUUAGUUCCUCUUCUGGAACCAAUAUCAUUUGUGGUGACAUGUUGGUUGGGAUAGGGCUAUAGUCUAAUGCCUAAGUCAAUAGCUUGUGGUUAGGUUUGUUAUAUGGUAAUUUGGAGCACUGGGCAGGCAUUUCUUAAGUAAAUCAGAUUCUCCGUUGGUGGUGGUUGCAAGCUGGUGUUGAAAUUUGUGGUGUGAAUGAGAGAACCAGGCAAGAUGGGGGUAUUACUGUGGGAGGUAGUCUUGAAUCUGAAGAUUUGCUUAUGGGUGGAAUGACAAUGUUGAGAAUUCUAUUGAUAGCUACCGCGAAGCCUUUGACGUCGUUUACCUGAAUGAUGCACCCAUGUGGGGAGUAGUAAAGCUUGUUUCACAACUAUGUCCUGGAGGUGAUUGAAAUGAUUGAUUGCCCCAACUAUUAAUAUAUAGUCUCUGCUUCUUUCAUAGCACGGUUUUGGUGAAAUUUUGUUUUGAUAGGCAAACAAUUUUACAAUAGGCGGCUCUUCAUCCUUUGUUAUCAAUUUAGUUAUUAACUUAUUAUUGAUACUACUCAUUCAUUAAUUUUACCCACAAGUAUGUUUUUAGUCUUGAACCCCUUAAUGUUGUAAGCUCUGCUUAUAAGUAACAACUUCGGUCAGUCCUUUUGCGCAGACAGAUUUAUCCUUAAACUCCAUGCGUCUUAAGCUGAAAGAUAUUCCUAAUGAAAUAACAUGCUUUAUUUCAUGACU